This 492-nucleotide ribosomal RNA is filed under the name uncultured bacterium. Its description in RNAcentral is "partial 16S ribosomal RNA". It matches the Rfam family "Bacterial small subunit ribosomal RNA", at positions 29 to 507 of the family's 1533-position model. The record is from RNAcentral.
AGUGAACGCUGGCGGUAGGCCUAACACAUGCAAGUCGAACGGCAGCACAGUAAGAGCUUGCUCUUACGGGUGGCGAGUGGCGGACGGGUGAGGAAUACAUCGGAAUCUACUUUUUCGUGGGGGAUAACGUAGGGAAACUUACGCUAAUACCGCAUACGACCUACGGGUGAAAGCAGGGGAUCUUCGGACCUUGCGCGAUUGAAUGAGCCGAUGUCGGAUUAGCUAGUUGGCAGGGUAAAGGCCCACCAAGGCGACGAUCCGUAGCUGGUCUGAGAGGAUGAUCAGCCACACUGGAACUGAGACACGGUCCAGACUCCUACGGGAGGCAGCAGUGGGGAAUAUUGGACAAUGGGCGCAAGCCUGAUCCAGCCACACCGCGUGAGUGAAGAAGGCCUUCGGGUUGUAAAGCCCUUUUGUUGGGAAAGAAAAGCAGCAGGUUAAUCCCCCGCUGUUCUGACGGUACCCAAAGAAUAAGCACCGGCUAACUUCGUG